AGAGUUUGAUCCUGGCUCAGGAUGAACGCUGGCGGCGUGCCUAACACAUGCAAGUCGAGCGAUGAAGCCCUUCGGGGUGGAUUAGCGGCGGACGGGUGAGUAACACGUGGGUAACCUGCCUCAAAGAGGGGGAUAGCCUCCCGAAAGGGAGAUUAAUACCGCAUAACAUUAGCUUUUCGCAUGGAAAGCUAAUUAAAGGAGUAAUCCGCUUUGAGAUGGACCCGCGGCGCAUUAGCUAGUUGGUGAGGUAAAGGCUCACCAAGGCGACGAUGCGUAGCCGACCUGAGAGGGUGAUCGGCCACAUUGGAACUGAGACACGGUCCAGACUCCUACGGGAGGCAGCAGUGGGGAAUAUUGCACAAUGGGCGAAAGCCUGAUGCAGCAACGCCGCGUGAGUGAUGAAGGCCUUCGGGUUGUAAAGCUCUGUCUUUGGGGACGAUAAUGACGGUACCCAAGGAGGAAGCCACGGCUAACUACGUGCCAGCAGCCGCGGUAAUACGUAGGUGGCGAGCGUUGUCCGGAUUUACUGGGCGUAAAGGAUGCGUAGGUGGAUGUUUAAGUCAGAUGUGAAAUACCCGAGCUUAACUUGGGUGCUGCAUUUGAAACUGGAUAUCUAGAGUGCAGGAGAGGUAAGUGGAAUUCCUAGUGUAGCGGUGAAAUGCGUAGAGAUUAGGAAGAACACCAGUGGCGAAGGCGACUUACUGGACUGUAACUGACACUGAGGCAUGAAAGCGUGGGUAGCAAACAGGAUUAGAUACCCUGGUAGUCCACGCCGUAAACGAUGAGUACUAGGUGUAGGGGGGUCCAACCUUCUGUGCCGCAGUUAACACAAUAAGUACUCCGCCUGGGAAGUACGAUCGCAAGAUUAAAACUCAAAGGAAUUGACGG
Molecule: ribosomal RNA, 888 nt
Filed under: uncultured bacterium
Lineage: Bacteria
Description: bacterial SSU rRNA
Rfam family: Bacterial small subunit ribosomal RNA
Source: RNAcentral